RNAcentral lists this ribosomal RNA (484 nucleotides) under uncultured bacterium. RNAcentral describes it as "partial 16S ribosomal RNA". It matches the Rfam family "Bacterial small subunit ribosomal RNA", at positions 29 to 507 of the family's 1533-position model. The record is from RNAcentral.
AGUGAACGCUGGCGGCAGGCCUAACACAUGCAAGUCGAGCGGAUGAACGGUGCUUGCUUCUGGUUACAGGGGGGGACGGGCGGGUGAUGCCUAGGAAUAUCCGUGGCUGCGGUUUAUAAGGGCCUGAAACGGGCGCUAAUACGCCAUUAGUGCAGACGGCGAACGUGGGGGAGCUUCGGACCUUACGCUAUUAGAUGAGCCUAGGUCGGAUUAGCUAGUUGGUGGGGUAAAGGCCUACCAAGGCGACGAUCCGUAGCUGGUCUGAGAGGAUGAUCAGUCACACUGGAACUGAGACACGGUCCAGACUCCUACGGGAGGCAGCAGUGGGGAAUAUUGGACAAUGGGCGAAAGCCUGAUCCAGCCAUGCCGCGUGUGUGAAGAAGGUCUUCGGAUUGUAAAGCCCUUUUGGUGGGAAGGAAAAGCAGUAGGUUAAUACCUUGCUGUUUUGACGUUACCAAAAGAAUAAGCACCGGCUAACUUCGUG